Picea glauca (white spruce) is the source of this 119-nucleotide non-coding RNA. The record is from Rfam. NCBI's taxonomy places the organism in Eukaryota, Viridiplantae, Streptophyta, Pinopsida, Pinales, Pinaceae.
GGGUGUGAUCAUACUAGCGUUAAUGCACCGGAUCCCAUCAGAACUCCGCAUUUAAGCGCGCUUUGGCUAGAGUAGUACUAGGAUGGGUGACCUCCCAGGAAGUCCUAGUGUUGCACCCU